AUUCACUAUUCCCUUUGUCCAGUCUAAUCAUUUUUCACACAUACCAGUACAUAACUGCACUCCACAAUGCAUAGCCAUUUUCUAAAAAAUACAGAUGAAAAUGAAAGGCAACGGUCUCUGCACCUAAGCGAUGCCUGUUUUUCCUCAAAAAGAACUGCAUGGGGCAGCAAGAGAACCUCCUCCCCAGACCAAGCAAAAUGCAUGCCGCGCGCAUCCGCACUGCAGCGGCGGACGUCCGAAACCUAACUCCCAAGCGCCAGGGAACUGCACGCCCGUCGACCUCUCAUGUUCCAACCAAACUCUCACGCGCUAAGUAAAUGCAUGCUUAUCAUCCUCUCACGCCCCUGCAUACUGCGCCGACGACCCAACUGACCUGCAGCGAGAGCAAACUGCACUGCUCGCGCCUGGAGGCAGUGAACAGCAAGGUGUCAGCGUCCCCGUCGAACUGCACAAAACAAAAUCUGAAACACACCAAGAAUUCCAUUGCACAGUGAGCACCACCUCGAAUUCCAGCCAAACUACACGGGUGUAGCGACCGAACCGCAUCUCUUCCUGCUCGUCGAAACUGCACA
Molecule: long non-coding RNA, 572 nt
Filed under: Triticum aestivum (bread wheat)
Lineage: Eukaryota; Viridiplantae; Streptophyta; Magnoliopsida; Poales; Poaceae
Description: long non-coding RNA (TAES_LNC010690)
Source: RNAcentral